Molecule: long non-coding RNA, 299 nt
Organism: Dermatophagoides pteronyssinus (European house dust mite)
Lineage: Eukaryota; Metazoa; Arthropoda; Arachnida; Sarcoptiformes; Pyroglyphidae
Source: RefSeq, a predicted model, not a curated record
AGAUAAUUGAGUGCAAUAUUUUUUUUUUGUUAUUAUUCAUUUUUUUAAAAUGGUUCAUGGUUCAUUGUCAAAAGUUGAAAUGUAUUUUAUCAUUUGUUUGCAAAAAUAAAAAUAACAAUAAUAAUAAAUUCAUUUGACGGUUCUGUAGUCAUCAAUGACUGUCCAUGACCGUUUCAUUUGAACCAAUAUCAGGUAUGAUUUUUUCUUUCGAAUGGAUAAAAUUUUUCGAAAUAAACAACUAAUGGGCAAAACCAAAAGAAAGCUUGGAGGGAUCUUUUUUUAUUUUUUGUCAAAUAAAU